This 65-nucleotide transfer RNA is filed under the name Pholoe pallida. Its description in RNAcentral is "tRNA-Glu". The record is from RNAcentral. Lineage: Eukaryota; Metazoa; Annelida; Polychaeta; Phyllodocida; Pholoidae.
UAGUCGUAGUAUAACACAGUACACAGGAGUUUCAAUCCUAAAGCCCAAAUUACUGGCGACCACUC